Theobroma cacao (cacao) is the source of this 463-nucleotide non-coding RNA. NCBI's taxonomy places the organism in Eukaryota, Viridiplantae, Streptophyta, Magnoliopsida, Malvales, Malvaceae. The record is from RefSeq and is a predicted model, not a curated record.
GCAGCUUUAAGGGAAAUGACCCCGAAACCAAUGUCAUGACUUGCAUUGACUUAUUGACUUGCAUGGACUUUAAUUCUUUUUUGCUUCAUGAUUCGUUAAUUCUCUUCUUAUAUCAUAUUAGGCUUUUCUUUUUUUGCAGGGAGAUCAUCUGAUUGUUGCUGCUAUUUUUCUUGAUUGUUUUUCAAAUUUAUUAAAGGCUUUCUGAGGAUAGAAGUACCACUUCAUUGUCUCACUGAACCAAAGGAUAAUUUGGAAGGAGAUCUGCUUGUUGUUGUUUUCUUGAUAAAUUUUUGUAAGGAGAUCUUAGUUUCCUCCUAUCAUAAAAUUAAUCGAGACCUCUAAGGAUCGGAGAAGUACCAACUCAUCUGCUUCACUUGACCAGUUUGUUUCUUGCUUAAGGAGUUGGUGCUUAACAAAGAGCCAAGGAGGUUUGUGGAUCAUUUUAAUUGACUUUUGGGCUUCA